GUGAAUCAUCGAAUUUUUGAACGCAAAUUGCACUCUCUUCGGAGCGUAUGACUGUUUGAGGGUGAGCCUAUAAAAAAUCGAUAUUGUAGCUGUUUCGCGGGGGCGUUCGUAGGAAAUUGGCCGAUUUUAUAUCUUUUGGUUUUAAGAGAUGUAAAAUUCUCAUUGAAUUCAUGAACGUUAAUAAGAUUAUUUCGUUAAAUGUUUAAGGUAUCGAUUUUUAUUAGGUGUGCAUGUAAUAUU
Molecule: unclassified non-coding RNA, 240 nt
Filed under: Glomus sp.
Lineage: Eukaryota; Fungi; Glomeromycota; Glomeromycetes; Glomerales; Glomeraceae
Description: partial contains 5.8S ribosomal RNA and internal transcribed spacer 2
Source: RNAcentral